RNAcentral lists this ribosomal RNA (253 nucleotides) under uncultured bacterium. RNAcentral's name for it is "partial 16S ribosomal RNA". It matches the Rfam family "Bacterial small subunit ribosomal RNA", at positions 524 to 776 of the family's 1533-position model. The record is from RNAcentral.
UACAGAGGGGGCAAGCGUUGUUCGGAAUUACUGGGCGUAAAGGGCGCGUAGGCGGCCUUCUAAGUCGAACGUGAAAUCCCCGGGCUCAACCCGGGAACUGCGUCCGAUACUGGAAGGCUUGAAUCCGGGAGAGGGAUGUGGAAUUCCAGGUGUAGCGGUGAAAUGCGUAGAUAUCUGGAGGUACACCGGUGGCGAAGGCGGCAUCCUGGGCCGGUAUUGACGCUGAGGAGCGAAAGCCAGGGGAGCAAACGGG